Emiliania huxleyi CCMP1516 is the source of this 73-nucleotide non-coding RNA. Lineage: Eukaryota; Haptophyta; Isochrysidales; Noelaerhabdaceae. The record is from Rfam.
UCCCGCGUAACUCAGUUGGUAGAGUGACAGACCCUUAAUCUGCUAGUCUUGGGUUCGAGCCCCAACGUGGGAA